ACACCGGGGAUCUUCUGCUUGAUCUUGUCCACCAAGCCCUCCUUGUGUUCGCCCUCCUUGUGUUCCCCGCCGUGAUGCUGCUGCUGAUGGUGAACAUCAGUAGUGCCGACACCGGGGAUCUGCUGCUUGAUCUUGUCCACCAAGCCCUCCUUGUGUUCGCCGCCGUGAUACUGCUGCUGAUGGUGGACAUCAGUAGUGUGGUGGUCCCCACUAUGGUGCUCUCCCUUGUGCUUGUCCUCCUCCUUUUGCCCUCCUCCCAUGUGAAGGGCUUCUCCGAUCUUGUGAAUAACUCCUGACAUUUUCCCUUAAAAUGACUCUGUUCCUCUUCUUUUCUUUUCAAUGAAAAAUAGUUGUUUGCGAUCUUCUUCUGGUUGUUGUUGUUCUUGUUGGGUGAUCUUGGCUUGGUAUUUAUAGGCUCCAAAAGGAGGGACUAGAAUUAGGAUUAGAUUAUAGAUUAUUUUAAUACAUUUUAUGGCAAAUUCUGAUUUGGAAAGAUAAGAUUAUCCUUUUGGUUUUCCUUAUUUACCCUUUUGCACCCAUUACGUGUACGCGUCUUCGUGGGCUUUUUGGGUAUUUCAAUUAUAUCGCCAAUGCUAAAUCGACACGUUGCAUAUCAGCCGCGGUACUGCCGUAUGUAGUUGUCCAGAAAUCGAGUCGAUUCUCGAUCGUACAAUAAUUAAAUAAUAUUUCAUACGAAAUGAGUUUAGAUAUAUUUUGAAAAUUUAUUUUUAAUUUAAUUAUACGUGUUAUAUAUUUGUUAAUCGAAUAGAGGUCCCACGUAACAGAGUGUUUCUCUAAUCUUUCAUUGCUUUUAAUUAAUUUUACCCAAAUAAAAAAAAAAAGGAAAAUUUAGAGAGAGAGAGAGAGAUAGCGAAUUAGAAGUUGAUUGUAAUAUCGACACCUGUCAGACAAUCAAAUAUCGUUAGUUAAAAAUCAGUUGUCCAUAGUCAUGGUCAUAGAUGGCGAAAUUGAUACUUAUUUUAAAAAACAAAACAAAACAAAACGAAACGAAACUAAACUAACAGAUGUUGAAAUGCAGUUCCGUGUUAACAGUCUGUGAUGAAUCUUUAUCUUUGAGUAUACCAUUCAAGAAAUUAUCAUUCAAAAAUUUAUUUAAAGCAGCAGCAAAUCACCUUCUAAUUCCUGAAUCAAAUUAAUUCGAUUUUUUUCGAGUCGAUCAAUUCAUUAGAGAAUUAACGGGCUAAGUUAAAGUUUUGUUAGUUAUUUUUUUUUAUAUUCCUUUAGAUGAUAUGAUUGUCAUUGUCUUUCUUUCUCUGGGCAACAAUAAAUACAAGAUGUGCAAAAGCGUAGUGGAACAUAAUUCGAUUAUGGGUAAAGGGAUCAGUCCGCAUAAUGAGGAUAAAGUUUUUCUCUUUAAAAAAAUUUAACCCAAAGAAAAGGUCGUAGUUUGUAAUAGCCGACACGCAGAUAGAUCACAAAGCAUGGCGGUCCUGAUGGCAAUAACUAACUGAUAUCUUCUGCGAUGAGAGGAGAUCACGUGGUUCUGACACGUAUCGCCCCAUCAACUGAUGUUGUGGCUGCAAUCGCGGCCCAGUCUUUAGAGAGAAGAAAGAUCUGUUAUAACGGGACCUACUUUAGCAUCUAUUUACGACAAAGCCCCUAUUUACUCUACUUAGUAGUAAUAAUAGCAAGUGUCGGGCUUGGAUUCCGUGUUGCUUUAAAUAAAUAUCCGCGUAAAAAGAAAAUGCUUCUUUAAUCCCUUCCUUGUAAUUUUUCGACACGUGGAUGGUUGAAAUUAGCGUGCCGACAUCUUAGGAAUUUUAUCUUGGAGACGGGAACACUGCAGUAGGCAAUGCCAUUUUCUUCGGAUGGUGUGUGGUGACAACGCCUUGGAUUUUGACGUGCAAAGAAUUUAAAUUGAAAAAGAAAAAAAGAAAUUACCAGAAUAAGCAUAGAAGAGAUAUUUUUCUUUUUGUCCUUUUUGGAAUGGAAAAAGAGAUCAAGAGAUUGUUCCAGUAAGUAUUACACAUGUCACAGGCUUAUUCAUGCCCCAUUAUGGCAACUUUUAUGCCUCGCGGUGCCCUCGGUUCCAGCAUAAUAGCUAAGACUUCAAUUUUUCUAACAUAUUUUUGUUACAAAUAUGAACGGAGUAAAUGUAUAACUUUAAUCCUUUGAAUAAAGAAAUGGCGGUUCUCCUGCUCGUUAAUCUCACUUGAAUCCCACCCAGGCAAAAUUUCUUUAUUUUAUUUAACAACAAUUUAAAGAAAGAAACUUUUGCCAGGUUGAAUUUCAAGUGAGAUUCAUUCGUGGGAGAAGUGCCAUUUCUUUAUUCAAAAGAUUAUGGUAAUUACAACUUUCAAUUUCGACAUAAAUUAAAAUUAUAGGCUAUACAAUAAAAUUGCCCUAAAUUAGUCCUAAUCAAUUCAGAUUAUAAAUUUAGGUAUAUUUAUUAUUUUAAUAUAUUAAUGUUCUAUAUAUAUAUAUAUAUAUAUAUAUAUAUGUGUGUGUGUGUGUGUAUNNNNNNNNNNNNNNNNNNNNNNNNNNNNNNNNNNNNNNNNNNNNNNNNNNNNNNNNNNNNNNNNNNNNNNNNNNNNNNNNNNNNNNNNNNNNNNNNNNNNNNNNNNNNACAGCAGAAAAUAUUUGCUAUGGAUAAGGAGACAUGGUCCCACGUCCCACCGUCCCAAUGCAUAUUUUGUAUGUUUCCAUCUUUUCUGAAAUUUUAAUAAAUAAAGUUUUUUGACCACUUGGCCAAAGAACCUUACCCUUACACAACUUUGUGGUUGGAGUCCUGUGAUACAUGUAAGAACUUAUUUUUUUUCUUAAUUAUAAUAUUUUAGAAUAUAAUUAAGUGAAGUAGGUUUUUUUUUUAAAUAUGAGUAAAAUAGAUAUUUUUUAAAUAUUAAAGAGAGUAAAAUUUGAAUAAUAAUAUAUUAAAAUUAAUACAAACUAAUUUUAAUAAUUAUUUAAUUAUAAAUAUCAAUUAUAACAUCAUAUAAUAUCAAUUAUAAUAUCGUACAUCUCAAUUAAUUCAAUAAUAAUAAUAAUAAAUGUUUUUUGGGAUAAGUAAACAGUCGCAUGGCGACAAUAGUGGAUCUGGAUUAGAGUGAAGUGGUCCCAAGAGGCUGAGGCUGUGGCUGUGGAGUUCUAAAAGUCAAAAGCUCCACGCACUUUGUUUCAGUACCAUACACACUGAAAAAAUUUGCAUUUGCAAUGACGAAAACUUUUCACGAAAUCAAAACACCUCUAAACUAUUUUGUUAUCGAUAUUUAAUGGAGGGGUUUCCUACCUUUUUAACACUCGAUUCACGCCUUGACGCAUCUCACAGAAAACCUCAUGAUCCCAUUAAUCUUGCGUAACAUAUCUCAAAGCCAAUGCAAGUGAUCUUGUUGCCUACUUCCCUUUGACGAUUCAAAAUUGUUGAAAAUAAUUCUUUUUUUUUUUAACCUCAAGGAAGUGACAAAAUAUAAAAGAAUAUUUUCUACACAUUAAACAUCUAGAUUUUUUUUUCUUUUCUUUUUAGAGUACUUGCACAAACCGUUUCCAAGAGAGACCUUUUUUUUUUUUUUUUUUUUCCGGGCUUGGUUACUAAUUUGGUGUGAAUACUCUAUGGUGAAAAAGGAAUCACAAAGCUGUAAUCAAUUUUUUUGCAUCAUUUAGUUGUAACUUGAACAUUGGGAGGUUUAUAAAGAAUUAAAUUAAUUAUAAUGCCUCUACUAGGAAAAGUUCAGAGUAGCCCUUCACAACUUUUUAAAGGCUUAAUAAUUUUCGCUUUCUUCCUCUCAUAACAUAACAAAAAAUUAAGAGCUUUACUCGUACACGUCCUAUGGCUAUAUAGUAUUGGGUUCUCUACUUCAAUCGGCUAUCUCAAACCGAAGGUUAUUUGGACACACCAGCAGUCACGUUUGGAAACUCUCAAAUGCUUGGAUUGUAAUUCUUGUGGAUGAGAUCAUCUAAAUCUUGGGCCCAAGCCGGACAAUGGGUGGACAAAGAACCCUAAAAUACAGUAAAGCUUCUAACACCCCACUAAAACUCUUAAGAAAUCCUACCUUUUAUUUUUAUAUCUCUUUCUUUUAGAAAUUAUAGAGAAGACAUAGCAUUUUAAUUAUUUUCCCUGCCAUUGAAAAUAAAUUCUGUAAACAUAUUUUUUCAUAAUAAAAUUAUUGUUAUUAGAUAAUUUAUUUCUUCAUUGUUUCAAAAUUAUUAUAAUUUUAUCAACAAAAUUAGUUAUGUCAUAUAUUAGGAUUAAAAUUAAUUAGGAUCCAUAACUUGUAAAGACAUUUUAGUUUAAUUGAAUUCAUAUUUGUCAUUUUAUGUAAUUUUCAAUAAAAAUACGACUAUGAGUGCAAAAGUGGGAUGACAUAAUAUUAAAAGAGUGUGAAAUAAUCGGUAAUUGAAAUGGAUUGAAAUCAUAAUAGAGUAUGAAAAUCAGAAUAAAUUGUUUACUUUAGUUGUAGAAAUCAAAAUUAAAAUAAACCAUAUUAUCAUUGAUGUAUAUAUGUUUUCUUGUAAUCGAAAUGAAUUCUUAUAAGUUACUAUAAGACCCUUAUGGUGUGUUUACUAAUCAGAAAUCAGAAUGGAGUGGAAUUUGAAUAUAGAAUGGUAGGGGUAUUCGCGGAUCGGAUUUUACGGAUUGGACAUUAAUUCAUAUCCGAUCCAUAAUUUUACGGAUUAUAAAUUCUCAACACAAUCCAAAUCCAAUCUAUAUGUUUGCAGAUCGGAUGCGGAUUUGACUCAAUUCAUAUCCAAUCCACUAUUUGACGGAUUGAUUUUGGAAUUAAAAAUUUUUAAUUUUGUCCAAUCUAUGAGGUAAUUAAAUUUAAAAAUCUAAUAUAAAAAUAAUUUAUUAAAUAAAAAAUUAACGUAAAAAUAAUUUUACUACCAAUUAAAUUCAAAAUUGAACAAGAUUUAAAUAAAUUAAUUAUUUAAAUAAAACUAGAAUAAUUUAUUUAAAAUUUUUAAAUAUAACAUAUCGAAAAAAAAUUCAUUUGUUUAGAUUAAUAUAUGAAAAUUAACUAAAAUUAUGAAUUUAAAUGUUGAAAUUUGAGAGCUUGGAUGUAACAGGAAGAAAUUAAGAAACUUGAAGAACUUGAAAAGAAAGUAACAAAUUAAGCUUAACUACCUCUAAUGGUGAAGUGAAACAGUGAUGGUUUGUGCGUGCAAUGGGGUACAAAUUUGGCAUUAUAUGCCAAAAUAUUUUGUUUGGCUUUAGAAUUUUUAAUGUUUAGGAAGCUAUAUUUGUUUAUUUAAUUACUCAAAUAUUUAAUUAUUUUUUAUUUUAUGUUAUUAUUGAAUAAGAUAUAAUAUUGUGUUAAUUUAGCUAUACUUUAAUUAAUUAAUUAAUUUAUUAGUAAGUAGCAUUGCUACAUUUAUAAGUUUUAUUUUUUAUUAAAUAAAUACUUUUUUUUUUCAGAUUCACGAAUUUUUACGGAUUUACAGAAAUAAAUCCAUAUCUAAUCCAUCGACUGUGGUUUUUUAAAUUUUCAUUCCAAUCCGAUCUACCAAUCCACAAAUUAUAUUUUUACGGAUCGGACGAAUUGAGCGGAUCAAAUUGGGUUCUGAACACCCCUAGAGAAUGAGAAUCAAAAUAAAUUAUUUACUUUAGUUGUGUGAAUCGGAAUUGGAAUAAAUUGUACUGUCAUUGAUGUGUUUACUUUAUCUUGGAAUCAGAAUGAAUAAUUUCAAAUUACUAAACUGACCUUAAUUUUUUAUUGUAAUAAUAAUAGUAGUAGUAGUAGUAAUAGUAGUAAUUUUCUAUUAUUAUUAUUAUUUUCUCUCUCUUUUGUUUUUAUUUUUUUAUUUUUCUCUUCUUCUUCUCUUCCUCUUUUUUUAUUUUUCUCUAAUUCAUCGAUACUUCUUCUUCUUCUUUUUUCUUUCGUUUUUAUUUUUAAUUUUUCCCUUCUUUAUCGUUCCUUCUUCUCCGUCCAUUCUCUAUCUUCAAACUCUUUUUACUUUUUCUCUUAUUCUUCAUUACUUCUUCUCCCUUUUUUUUUUUUUUCUCUUCUUUAUUAAUUCUUCUUCUUCUGCGUCUAUUCUUCAUCUUCAAAUUAUCAAGUGAAAAAUACCCACGGUGCCUUACAAGAAGAAUUGGUUUUGUUUGCUUCAAUUAUUUUUUGUAUUUUGUACUUUUGAUUGUUUCAAAAGAGGAUAAACUUGUAAUAAUGCAAUUUAAGUAGGGAUGUUUUAGACAAUUUUGGGUAUGAGAGUCUAAUUCCCAACCCCCCACUCCCUCGUAGCAGACUCCCAUUCUUCAUUCCUAACUUGGUGUUGGACCUACUAAAAUAAAUCCCAUUCCCCUUCUUAUUUCAAGAAGCAAACACGAUUUUGAUUUCAAUUCCCCAAUCCGAAAGUAAACGCACAAAAAUUGUACCCAUAUGAGAUUGCUUAUCCUCGAGUUUUUAGAUUGAAAAAAAAAAAGGAAAAAAGAAUGGCCCCAUUAGGAAGGGAUUUUAAGUGUUAGAUAAAGCCGGUGUUAACCAUUAGAAGGUCUCCGACCUUCAACUGUAAUAUAUUAAACCCAGAUAAAUUUACAUAUAAAUCACACAAACCAACAUGCCAAUCAAAUAAAUUACAUCAACUAACAACAAUUGACACAUUAAUUUUCAUAAUACAGAGGAUGCAGAAAAUUAAAAUGUUUUAUCUUUUCUCCUUAUUUGUGAAUUGGAAAAUGAAAAUGUUAAACAUACAGAAGAGUGAAACAGGAUGGAUAUAUAUACACACACACACACACACAGCUUUGGAGUUCAAUGUCAUCGUAUUGCUCCAAGAAGAUUGGCGCCAUCAAGCUUUGCACCUUCCAGAUGCUGUUUAAUCAUCACCAUAACACCUUCAGUAGACAUUAAUACAUAAUAGAAACACAAAAUUCACAUGAUCUGAAUGUCUGGUCUAUUUUACUUACCGUAUCUCGAAGAUUUACGUGCCGUAAAUAAGCUCUUUGAAGGUUGGCACCCUUUAAAUUGGCAUUACGUAGCUUUGCACCCUGCCGCAUAAAUGUUCGAAGUUUCAACAAAUUAAAGUCUCCUGAGAAAUACAUGUCACGAAAAAGUAGGGCUGAAACUUGCAUCUAAUGUACAAGAUUCAAUCAGGGGUGCUUGUCCCACAGUGAAAGUGUAUGGGGGAAAGUGCACUUUCACAAACCAAAGGGGCAAGAUGUGAUUAUCACACGAUUACAAAAGGACUGUAGUCAAGAGAGAGAACUGAACAUGCAGCUUGUAUUGAGGCCAUGAAAAUUGAUGAAAAGCAGUAACAAGCAACCAUUUUGAAAACACUUCAUAUGGUCGAAUCAAUAAAUCAAAGCUAAAAUGAUGUUGACGAUCGAUAGCUUUUAGGUGAUAAGAGUCUUGGCACUACAGUUAAAAUUAUUAUCUAGGAGUGCACACAUUAAUAAAAAAAAACACAACCAAUAAGCAUGCACUCUUAAUCAGCAUAUAAAUUAACAAGUUAGUUGCACCUUAUGUUGUUCCACAAACAGAUUGCUCGAACAAUUCACAAUCUUACCUUCAAAUUAGCUCCUUCCAAAUUAGCUCCCUCUAGGUUGGCAUUAGUAAGAUCAGCAGUCUGAAAAGUCAAGAGGACAAACAGAUUGCAAUUUGAUUAAAAUCUCAAAGUAGCAACAUUCUGCAUGAAAGAAGAGCAGCACAAUUGGCAACAUACAUUUUAGAUUAAGAGGAUGGGAUAAAAGCAAAAUUACAAGGACAUGAAGCAAAUGAGCCAUGUUUAGUAUGGCAAUUUUGACCCAAUAAUUGUGGCAGGUCUUGGAGAUAACAUAGGCAUACACAUAAGGCAGAAGCAAAUACUGUCGCAAACUCCUAGCUAACUACAAAUGUUCCAUAUAGAAAAAAACACCUGCAAAAGUAAGGGAAAAAGCAACAGAUAAAGAACUCAAGAUGCUAGACCUGUAAGUGUGCAGAUCGCAGGUCUGCUCCACAGAAGCUGCAGUCUAUCAAGCAAGCAUCUGCAAUGAUUUAAGAUAAAUUUGAAUCCAAAUGACAUUUUACCGCAAGUAGUUCCAGCCAUUUUGGGAACAAACAAGAAAUGCUAUUUUGUAUUCAUUGUAAUUCCUUAAGCUAAAUAACAAUCAUGUGCUAUCUUAACCAAGGUACAGUUGCAAAUUCUGAAAUUGUGAUGCCAUAGGUUGUUCUUAAUCUUUUUGAACUGAAUAUUGAAAAAAUAUUCCUUCAAUCAUAAAUGUUAAAUAAUUAAAAGAACUGUGAGGGGGGNNNNNNNNNNNNNNNNNNNNNNNNNNNNNNNNNNNNNNNNNNNNNNNNNNNNNNNNNNNNNNNNNNNNNNNNNNNNNNNNNNNNNNNNNNNNNNNNNNNNNNNNNNNNNNNNNNGGGGGGGGGGGGGGGGGAAUGAAUAAGCGGAUGCAUACAGAAAAUUAUGGAAAAUCUGUUAUGGAAAUAAUAUGAAAAUGGGUAUGCAUAACUACAUACUGAAUCUUGACUAAUUUCAAUUUAAUUCAGAUAAGAAAUUCCAGUAUGGGAAUUGCCUUGUAAAUUUGCACUCUGAAGAUUUGCACCAGCUAGUAAAGCUCCACGAAGGUUUGCCCCAGCAAAUUCACAUCUUCCCUAGGCAAGAUAAAACCCUUAAAAGGCAAUUUUGAAAAAUACAUAUAAUUGGGAGAAUAUCCAGUAUUGCUUUGACUCUCUUACUCACGCAAAGUUGCAUUGUGAAAAAUGGAACCCUCAGCAUCCACAUCCUGUAUCAAGAACAGACAGAUUCAGUAUGAUUAAUAUAACUGGUUGCUGGAAGACAGGACAAAAUCGCAUCUUGUCACUGUCAACUUGCAUGUUAAGAAUUAAACACGAAAACUGCAUGCUGUCCAAUUAUAAGAAACCUAUAAAAUUCAAAUCAACAUCAAUACUGGCUUAAGGAAGAUAUAAAAAUAAAAAUUAUACCAACCCGAAAUUUCGCAGAUUGAAGAUUUGCACGUGAGAAGAAAACAUUUCUAAGACACGCAUAGCUGAAGUCCACAAGUGAAAGAUCCUGGCCAUUUUAAUAAGAUAGCAUCAGAGGAAACAAUAUCUAAUGAAUAUAUAAUGUUCUUUCUUGCUUAUCUGAGAAUACUAAUGAGAUUAUCAAAAAAACUCUAAGCUACUGCUAAGAAGUCUUGUGUUACAUGAGUAUGAAUUGAGGAGGUAAAGAAGACCCUUCUCCAAUAAGUUACCAUAGAAGCCACAUAAAACCCUAAAGCAGUUACAAACUUACAAUGACCAGAAUAAACCACCCCAACUAUCUAUUGGCAAGUAAAAUCACUUCUCUGGAUUUCUGAAAACUAGCAAAACAAAUGCAUAAAUUGGCAAAUUCGAUGAUUUCCUCUGAAAACCAAAUUAUAGCAGACAUAAAACUUGGAAGUAUUCAUAGAAUAAAAAUCUUUCAAGCACCUCAAUUCAGUAAUUAUUACCAGCUUAGAAAGAUCAAGGCCAGAAAGAUUAAGUCCUCGAAAUCUGACUUUUUCAGACUGUAUACACUUGAUGAUAUCAAUGCGUGUUAGCUCAGUAUCUAACUCAUUAUCUUCCUUUCUCUUAUUUAUGACAGCAUGGAUUCUCUCAAUUAGUCCCUGAAAUGAAACACAUUAGAUGCAAACUAUUAUUUGAAAAAAGAAAUACAUUUUAUCCACUAACACACAUGGAUUUCAACAGCAAUCAUACAAUAAUUGAGGAAGGACGGUCAUAUCAGACUCAUCUGCCAAGAUUCAAUAAGCACAUCAAACUUGUUUACAUGUAAUUUCCACAUUCCACGUGAAUUUAUAAGGUCUGCCUAAGCAAACCAAAGAAGGCUACACUCAGUACUGUGUGUAUACUGCCUUACCUUUGCUGUUCCCCAGAUACCGUCCUGCAAUCCAGAUACUUAGCUGUGAAGUUUCAAGCCAGCGAAACCAUUUUAAAAGUACACAUGGACACAGAUACCAUUAUCUGAAUCAUCUUCGAUAACAAAUUAAAAUGCCCUAGCGUUCAAAAAACUUAGGAUCUCUUUAAGUGAAGUUCCUUUAAAAAAGUAGAAAAAAACUGAACAACAAUGUCAUGCUAAUAAAAGGUAAAAAAAAUAAAAUAAAAUAAAGCAUAAGGACAGAAGUUCACCAGGAGCAUGCCAGUAUAAACCAAAACGACCACAAAUCUCAACCAUAAAAUUUAAAGUAGUAAAGUAAAUAAUCAAGGGCAUGCAGUUGGCACAGGUGCUUCCAAAUAAAAUGAUGAUUCUUUUCAAACAGAAAAAAGAAAUGGAUGUUAAUAAACUAGAAGAAACCAUGUCUUACAAGUAAUUGAUAAUAUUCUGCUUCCCGUAGAAGCUCUAAAAACUCUGACUCUGUUAAUGUGGGGACAGCCCCAUCCCUUAACCAAUUCAGAAUAUGCCGAAAAUGUUUUCCGUCCCUAUCAACAAAGAUAUAGCCCUGCAAUAAUUCAAUAUGCUCAAAGAUAAGAAUCUGAAUAAUAUACCCAAGAGAAGUGCUUUUCCCUGGAAUAAUAAAAAGAAAAUAAGUCAAAACGUUUUUCUUAAUGGAAGAACACAAAGGAACAGCUCUAUGACUAACAUGAAAACCAUAAAUCAGAAUAAGAACCCAAAACUGGUCAUUUGGAGUUUCACCAGAUCAAAAAGAUCACAUGGAAAUAAAAUUGUGAAAAUGGGAUUAUUUAUGCCGAGGUCAUGGCUAAACUGCAAUCAUUACUCCAUUUUUGGUAGAAGGAGAAGAAGAAAGAAGAGUAGGUGAGUCAUCAUUCUUUCAGGUGAGUCAUCAUUCUUUCUCUGUGAUUAAUUGAUAUGAUGGAAGUGUUGUAGAUAUUAAUUUGAUAGUGAUUCCUCCCUUCAAAAGAAUUCAUUCCUUUUUUUAUUAUUUCACAAAGUUUAACUAAGACUGAGUUUUCUCAAUUUGAAGGCAUCGUGCACUCUACCCCUUUCUUUUCCUCACAUUGCUUCUUCCCAAUCCCAAAGGGAAGAAAUCAAGAAACAAUUACAAUUUUUAACUAUUCACCAGCAAAAACAAGGCAAAGAAAGAUGCUGAGUGUAAGCAAAAAUAAGAGAGUUAUACACCUCAGAGUCUUGGCACACAGUAUGGCGACCGCUGAACAUAGCUGCAAGCAUAGAUUCAGGCUCACGACGAGUCAGAGUAUCAAUUGUUGUAUAAAAUUUCUUUCCCCCUGGAUAUUAAUACAUAAAAUAUAAAUUUGUUCACUUAAAAGCAUGAAUUGUGCAAAUUUGUCAAUAAUGUCAUUCUUUCACAAACGUUCACCGAAAUGUAUAACAAUAAGUGCAUCAUAACAUAACUAAACGGCUUAAGAACUGCGCAGAUAUUACAUACAGUAGAGAAACAAGAAAUAGAAAAUGAGAUUUGCCCUUUUUAAACAGAAAGCAAUCAAAGAGUAAACUAAAGAGCUAAUAAUUCACAAAAUUCAGUUGAUUAAACUCAUUUACAAGUAAUUAGCAACAAAAUCCAAGCUAAAUAAAAAUAAUGAAAAUUAGGUUCUUAUAACAUCCGUCAAUUCUAUGAAAGUUUACCACGAUCAGCAACAAAUAGAUAAAUCGCAAUAAAGAAAAACCGACGACAUGUCGGUUGUGUAGUGCAUAAGUAAAGGAAUUUGCAGAUGAUGUAAAGAGAAUGAGGGAUAGUAACUGACCGAUGUUGAGACGAACCAUUGAAGACGAAUCGGAGUCCUUCGCCAUUGUCGAGUGUAAUGACUUGUCGUCUUACUUGCGCUCAUAGGUAUUUAUAUCAUAGCUGACACUGUUCGAAGGACAGCAAGGAUUUGGUGGGCACAAAUGCAUUUUGGAAAUUGGGCUUCGGCCCAAGAAAUCGAAAAUCAGAGGCUUUUUUUUAAAAAAAAUUUAAAAGGAUUAGAAUGUCUAUAAAUUAAUAGGGCUGAGACCAUCUUAAAUCUAUUAAGUAAAAGAGAUAUUAAAUAUUUUAUUAAUUAAUAAUUUAUUAAUUUACAGAAUUAUUUAUAAUUCAAUUAACAUACAUUUAAUAACUAAACAUUCAAUGUACAUAAUUUCUGAUUACAAUUCAAAGCACUAACAAUACUUCAUAAUUUCUUAUUACAAUUCAAGAAUUCAACCUCAUAGCUUUUAGAUGCAAUAAGAAAAAUAAGAAAUAAGAUUCAGUUAUAUUU
RNAcentral lists this long non-coding RNA (12062 nucleotides) under Citrus sinensis (sweet orange). RNAcentral describes it as "long non-coding RNA (CSIN_LNC002323)". Lineage: Eukaryota; Viridiplantae; Streptophyta; Magnoliopsida; Sapindales; Rutaceae. The record is from RNAcentral.